Molecule: ribosomal RNA, 440 nt
Filed under: uncultured bacterium
Lineage: Bacteria
Description: partial 16S ribosomal RNA
Rfam family: Bacterial small subunit ribosomal RNA
Source: RNAcentral
GACGAACGCUGGCGGCGUGCCUAAUGCAUGCAAGUCGCACGCGGCCUUCUCGGGUGCUGAGUGGCGAAUGGCUGAGGAACACGUGGGGACCUGUACGGGCGUGGGGGCCAACACAGCCAAAGCGGAGUUCCUCCUGCAUACGCCCUGAGGAGGAUAGCUGAACGGUGCUCCCGCGUGGCUCUGCGGCCCUUCUGGUUGUUGGAGGGGUCACGGCCUACCAAGCCCAUGACCGGUCGCUGGUCUGUGAGGACGGACAGCCAGACUGGGACUGGGCCACGGCCCAGACUCCUACGGGGAGGAAGAGCAAGGGAUUUUCGGCAAUGGGCGCAAGCCUGGCCGAGCAACGCCGCGUGCAGUAAGGCAGCCUUCGGGUUGGAAACUGCUUUUGCUAGGGAUGGUAACUGACGGUACCUGGCGAAUCAGCCCCGGCUAACUCUGUG